GAUGAACGCUGGCGGCGUGCCUAAUACAUGCAAGUCGAGCGAACAGAUGAGGAGCUUGCUCCUCUGACGUUAGCGGCGGACGGGUGAGUAACACGUGGAUAACCUACCUAUAAGACUGGGAUAACUUCGGGAAACCGGAGCUAAUACCGGAUAAUAUAUUGAACCGCAUGGUUCAAUAGUGAAAGACGGUUUUGCUGUCACUUAUAGAUGGAUCCGCGCCGCAUUAGCUAGUUGGUAAGGUAACGGCUUACCAAGGCAACGAUGCGUAGCCGACCUGAGAGGGUGAUCGGCCACACUGGAACUGAGACACGGUCCAGACUCCUACGGGAGGCAGCAGUAGGGAAUAUUCCGCAAUGGGCGAAAGCCUGACGGAGCCACGCCGCGUGAGUGAUGAAGGUCUUCGGAUCGUAAAACUCUGUUAUUAGGGAAGAACAAAUGUGUAAGUAACUAUGCACGUCUUGACGGUACCUAAUCAGAAAGCCACGGCUAACUACGUG
This 497-nucleotide ribosomal RNA is filed under the name uncultured bacterium. Its description in RNAcentral is "partial 16S ribosomal RNA". It matches the Rfam family "Bacterial small subunit ribosomal RNA", at positions 28 to 507 of the family's 1533-position model. The record is from RNAcentral.